GCCUUCGUGGUGUAGUGGUCAGCACACUCGGCGCGUAUUCGAGAAGUCCGUGGUUCGAGUCCCGGCGAGGGCA
Molecule: transfer RNA, 73 nt
Filed under: Stegodyphus mimosarum
Lineage: Eukaryota; Metazoa; Arthropoda; Arachnida; Araneae; Eresidae
Rfam family: tRNA
About the family: Transfer RNA (tRNA) molecules are approximately 80 nucleotides in length. Their secondary structure includes four short double-helical elements and three loops (D, anti-codon, and T loops).
Source: Rfam by way of RNAcentral